CAAGUCGAGCGAUGAAGUUUCUUCGGAAAUGGAUUAGCGGCGAACGGGUGAGGAACACGUGAAGAAUCUGCCCUCCACUUUGGGAUAACACCGGGAAACCGGUGCUAAUACCGAAUAUUGAAACAUAAGUGGCAUCACUGAGUUUUGAAAGAAUUUCGGUGGAGGAUGACUUCGCGGCCUAUCAGCUAGUUGGUGAGGUAAUGGCUCACCAAGGCAACGACGGGUAGCCGGCCUGAGAGGGCGACCGGCCACACUGGGACUGAGACACGGCCCAGACUCCUACGGGAGGCAGCAGUGGGGAAUAUUGGGCAAUGGAGGAAACUCUGACCCAGCGACGCCGCGUGCGGGAUGAAGGCCUUCGGGUUGUAAACCGCUUUCAGUAGGGAAGAAGCGAAAGUGACGGUACCUACAAAAGAAGCACCGGCUAACUAUGUGCCAGCAGCCGCGGUAAUACAUAGGGUGCAAGCGUUGUCCGGAAUUAUUGGGCGUAAAGAGCUCGUAGGUCGUUUGUUACGUCGGAUGUGAAAACCUGAGGCUCAACCUCAGGCCUGCAUUCGAUACGGGCAAACUAGAGUUUGGUAGGGGAGACUGGAAUUCCUGGUGUAGCGGUGGAAUGCGCAGAUAUCAGGAGGAACACCAAUGGCGAAGGCAGGUCUCUGGGCCAAUACUGACACUGAGGAGCGAAAGUCUGGGGAGCGAACAGGAUUAGAUACCCUGGUAGUCCAGACCGUAAACGGUGGGCACUAGUUGUGGGAACCUUCCACGGUUUCUGCGACGCAGCUAACGCAUUAAGUGCCCCGCCUGGGGAGUACGAUCGCAAGAUUAAACUCAAGGAAUUGACGG
RNAcentral lists this ribosomal RNA (843 nucleotides) under uncultured bacterium. RNAcentral describes it as "bacterial SSU rRNA". It matches the Rfam family "Bacterial small subunit ribosomal RNA", at positions 58 to 916 of the family's 1533-position model. The record is from RNAcentral.